Molecule: ribosomal RNA, 268 nt
Filed under: uncultured archaeon
Lineage: Archaea
Description: partial 16S ribosomal RNA
Rfam family: Archaeal small subunit ribosomal RNA
Source: RNAcentral
ACACGACUACAUUAGACUACCCGGGUAGUCCCAGCCCUAAACGAUGCGCGUUAGGUGUAUCGGUGACCACGAGUCACCGAGGUGCCGAAGGGAAACCGUGAAACGUGCCGCCUGGGAAGUACGGUCGCAAUGCUGAAAACGUUAAAGGAAUUGGCGGGGGAGCACCACAACGGGUGGAGCCUGCGGUUUAAUUGGACUCAACGCCGGGAAGCUUACCGGAUAAGACAGCGGAAUGAUUGCCGGGCUGAAGACUCUGCAUGACCAGCUG